GGGGACAGAGAUGAAGGCUAGAGGCUGGGGGGGGGCAUAGAGACGAAAGGUCGAGGGUCAGAGGGGGACAUAGAGAUGAGAGCUAGAGGGUCAGAGGGGGGAGCAUAGAGAUGAAAGGUAGAGGGUCAGAGGGGGACGUAGAGAUGAAAGCUAGAGGGUCAGAGGGGGACACAGAGAUGAAAGGUAGAGGGUCAGAGGGGGACAUAGAGAUGAGAGCUAGAGGGUCAGAGGGGGAGCAUAGAGAUGAAAGCUAGAGGGUCAGAGGGGGACAUAGAGAUGAAAGGUAGAGGGUCAGAGGGGGACAUAGAGAUGAAAGCUAGAGGGUGGGGGGCAUAGAGAUGAAAGGUAGAGGGUCAGACGCGGAUAUAGAGAUGAAAGCUAGAAGGUCAGAAAGAGCCAUAGGGAUGAACGCUAGAGGUUCAGAGGGGGGCAUAGAGAUGAAAGCUAGAAGGUCAGAGGGCGGGCAUAGGGUUGAAAGCUAGAGGGUCAGAGGGGGAAAUAAAGAUGAAAGCUAGAGGGUCAGAGGGCGCGCAUAGAGAUGAAAGCUAGAGGGUCAGAGCGGGCUUUGAGUUGAAAGUCACAAUCAGAGGGGGGCAAAGAGAUGGAGGCUACAGGGUUAGAAGUAGGACACAGACAUAAAUAGUCAAAGUAGGGCAGAGAUCUAGGCUGAAGAAUCAGGGGUGGAGGUGGCACAAUGAUCCAGAAAGGUUGUCUGAGGGGGAGAGGGCUGUGGCACGGGAGUGGGCUGUGGAGCGCAGAGGCCAAGACAGG
Molecule: long non-coding RNA, 771 nt
Filed under: Heterocephalus glaber (naked mole-rat)
Lineage: Eukaryota; Metazoa; Chordata; Mammalia; Rodentia; Bathyergidae
Description: lncRNA (ENSHGLG00100043009.1)
Source: RNAcentral